Molecule: ribosomal RNA, 253 nt
Filed under: uncultured bacterium
Lineage: Bacteria
Description: partial 16S ribosomal RNA
Rfam family: Bacterial small subunit ribosomal RNA
Source: RNAcentral
UACGAAGGGGGCUAGCGUUGUUCGGAAUCACUGGGCGUAAAGCGCACGCAGGCGGAUCGAUAAGUCGGGGGUGAAAGCCCGGGGCUCAACCUCGGAAUUGCCUUCGAUACUGUCGGUCUCGAGUCCGGGAGAGGUGAGUGGAAUUCCUAGUGUAGAGGUGAAAUUCGUAGAUAUUAGGAAGGACACCAGUGGCGAAGGCGGCUCGCUGGCCCUGUACUGACGCGCAGGUGCGAAAGCGUGGGGAGCAAACAGG